UAAACAAGAUUAGCUAUGAUU
This 21-nucleotide non-coding RNA is filed under the name Caenorhabditis elegans. The record is from RNAcentral. Lineage: Eukaryota; Metazoa; Nematoda; Chromadorea; Rhabditida; Rhabditidae.